This 410-nucleotide ribosomal RNA is filed under the name uncultured bacterium. RNAcentral's name for it is "bacterial SSU rRNA". It matches the Rfam family "Bacterial small subunit ribosomal RNA", at positions 355 to 775 of the family's 1533-position model. The record is from RNAcentral.
UCGAGGAUCUUCGGCAAUGGGCGCAAGCCUGACCGAGCGACGCCGCGUGUGCGAUGAAGGCCUUCGGGUUGUAAAGCACUGUCGAGGGGGAGGAAAGCGCAAGCUUGACCUAUCCCUGGAGGAAGCACGGGCUAAGUUCGUGCCAGCAGCCGCGGUAAGACGAACCGUGCGAACGUUGUUCGGAAUCACUGGGCUUAAAGGGCGCGUAGGCGGCGGAUCAAGUCCGGGGUGAAAGCCCCCAGCUCAACUGGGGAAGUGCCUCGGAUACUGGUUCGCUCGAGGGAGGUAGGGGUCGCGGGAACUUCCGGUGGAGCGGUGAAAUGCGUUGAUAUCGGAAGGAACGCCGGUGGCGAAAGCGCGCGACUGGACCUCUUCUGACGCUGAGGCGCGAAAGCCAGGGGAGCGAACGG